CCCGCAACGAGCGCAACCCUUGCCAUUAGUUGCUACGAAAGGGCACUCUAAUGGGACUGCCGGUGACAAACCGGAGGAAGGUGGGGAUGACGUCAAGUCCUCAUGGCCCUUAUAGGUGGGGCUACACACGUCAUACAAUGGCUGGUACAAAGGGUUGCCAACCCGCGAGGGGGAGCUAAUCCCAUAAAGCCAGUCGUAGUCCGGAUCGCAGUCUGCAACUCGACUGCGUGAAGUCGGAAUCGCUAGUAAUCGUGGAUCAGAAUGUCACGGUGAAUACGUU
RNAcentral lists this ribosomal RNA (280 nucleotides) under Comamonas aquatica. RNAcentral's name for it is "partial 16S ribosomal RNA". It matches the Rfam family "Bacterial small subunit ribosomal RNA", at positions 1086 to 1372 of the family's 1533-position model. Lineage: Bacteria; Pseudomonadati; Pseudomonadota; Betaproteobacteria; Burkholderiales; Comamonadaceae. The record is from RNAcentral.